Molecule: ribosomal RNA, 700 nt
Filed under: uncultured Bradyrhizobium sp.
Lineage: Bacteria; Pseudomonadati; Pseudomonadota; Alphaproteobacteria; Hyphomicrobiales; Nitrobacteraceae
Description: bacterial SSU rRNA
Rfam family: Bacterial small subunit ribosomal RNA
Source: RNAcentral
AGCGAACGCUGGCGGCAGGCUUAACACAUGCAAGUCGAGCGCCCCGCAAGGGGAGCGGCAGACGGGUGAGUAACGCGUGGGAACGUACCUUUUGGUUCGGAACAACACAGGGAAACUUGUGCUAAUACCGGAUAAGCCCUUACGGGGAAAGAUUUAUCGCCGAAAGAUCGGCCCGCGUCUGAUUAGCUUGUUGGUGAGGUAACGGCUCACCAAGGCGACGAUCAGUAGCUGGUCUGAGAGGAUGAUCAGCCACAUUGGGACUGAGACACGGCCCAAACUCCUACGGGAGGCAGCAGUGGGGAAUAUUGGACAAUGGGCGCAAGCCUGAUCCAGCCAUGCCGCGUGAGUGAUGAAGGCCCUAGGGUUGUAAAGCUCUUUUAACGGGGAAGAUAAUGACGGUACCCGUAGAAUAAGCCCCGGCUAACUUCGUGCCAGCAGCCGCGGUAAUACGAAGGGGGCUAGCGUUGCUCGGAAUCACUGGGCGUAAAGGGUGCGUAGGUGGAUCUUUAAGUCAGGGGUGAAAUCCUGGAGCUCAACUCCAGAACUGCCUUUGAUACUGAGGAUCUUGAGUUCGGGAGAGGUAAGUGGAACUGCGAGUGUAGAGGUGAAAUUCGUAGAUAUUCGCAAGAACACCAGUGGCGAAGGCGGCUUACUGGCCCGAUACUGACACUGAGGCACGAAAGCGUGGGGAGCAAACAGG